GUGAGGAAUAUUGGGCAAUGGGCGAAAGCCUGACCCAGCCACGCCGCGUGAGUGAUGAAGGCCUUCGGGUUGUAAAGCUCUGUGGGGAGGGAAGAAAAAGCGGGAGAGUAACUGCUCUCGUGUUGACGGUACCUCCUUAGCAAGCACCGGCUAACUCUGUGCCAGCAGCCGCGGUAAUACAGAGGGUGCAAACGUUGCUCGGAAUUACUGGGCGUAAAGCGCGUGUCAGCUGACAUGCAAGUCGGGUGUGAAAUCCCAGGGCUCAACCUUGGAACUGCACUCGAAACUGCACGUCUUGAGUACUGGAGAGGGAAGCGGAAUUCCGGGUGUAGAGGUGAAGUUCGUAGAUAUCCGGAGGAACACCAGUGGCGAAGGCGGCUUCCUGGACAGUAACUGACGCUGAGACGCGAAAGCGUGGGGAGCAAACAGGAUUAGAUACCCGAGUAGUCC
RNAcentral lists this ribosomal RNA (450 nucleotides) under uncultured bacterium. RNAcentral's name for it is "partial 16S ribosomal RNA". It matches the Rfam family "Bacterial small subunit ribosomal RNA", at positions 354 to 796 of the family's 1533-position model. The record is from RNAcentral.